RNAcentral lists this ribosomal RNA (512 nucleotides) under uncultured bacterium. RNAcentral describes it as "partial 16S ribosomal RNA". It matches the Rfam family "Bacterial small subunit ribosomal RNA", at positions 28 to 507 of the family's 1533-position model. The record is from RNAcentral.
GAUGAACGCUGGCGGCGUGCCUAAUACAUGCAAGUCGAACGAAACUUCUUUAUCACCGAGUGCUUGCACUCACCGAUAAAGAGUUGAGUGGCGAACGGGUGAGUAACACGUGGGCGACCUGCCCAAAAGAGGGGGAUAACACUUGGAAACAGGUGCUAAUACCGCAUAACCAUAGUUACCGCAUGGUAACUAUGUAAAAGGUGGCUAUACUACCGCUUUUGGAUGGGCCCGCGGCGCAUUAGCUAGUUGGUAGGGUAAAGGCUUACCAAGGCAAUGAUGCGUAGCCGAAUUGAGAGGUUGAUCGGCCACAUUGGGACUGAGACACGGCCCAAACUCCUACGGGAGGCAGCAGUAGGGAAUCUUCCACAAUGGGCGAAAGCCUGAUGGAGCAACGCCGCGUGGGUGAAGAAGGUCUUCGGAUCGUAAAACCCUGUUGUUAGAGAAGAAAGUGCGUGAGAGUAACUGUUCACGUUUCGACGGUAUCUAACCAGAAAGCCACGGCUAACUACGUG